UUGAAGAGAAGCCUCCACCAGUUGAAGAGAAGCCUCCACCGGUUGAAGAGAAGCCUCCACCGGUUUAUGUGGAACCUCUUCCUCCACCAGUACCAGUUUACAAGCCAAAGCCACCGGUUUACAAGCCAAAGCCACCGGUUUACAAGCCAAAGCCACCGGUUUACAAGCCAGAGCCACCGGUCUACAAGCCAAAGCCACCGGUCUACAAGCCAAAGCCACCGGUCUAUAAGCCAAAGCCACCUGUCUACAAGCCAAAGCCACCUGUCUACAAGCCAAAACCACCUGUUUACAAGCCUCCAACACCACAAAAGCCAGAGUCUCCUCCAUAUUAUAAGCAUCCAUGGUAUAAGAUUCUCCCUCCAAUUUCAAAGCUUCCACCAUGUCCACCAACUCCAAAGGUUGUUGUCCCUCCAAAGUACUAUUCUCACCCAAAGAUUGGCAAGAAAUUCCCUCCC
Molecule: long non-coding RNA, 455 nt
Filed under: Cucumis sativus (cucumber)
Lineage: Eukaryota; Viridiplantae; Streptophyta; Magnoliopsida; Cucurbitales; Cucurbitaceae
Description: long non-coding RNA (CSAT_LNC002589)
Source: RNAcentral